Gasterosteus aculeatus aculeatus (three-spined stickleback) is the source of this 2156-nucleotide non-coding RNA. NCBI's taxonomy places the organism in Eukaryota, Metazoa, Chordata, Actinopteri, Perciformes, Gasterosteidae. The record is from RefSeq and is a predicted model, not a curated record.
CACACGUCCCAGCAUUUUAGUACCUUGUUCGUACAAUGACAUAUUUUGAAGGGUUAUAUACAUUUGUGCCAUUAGAUGAAACAAUGGAGAACAAGACAAACAGGGAGUUCUUCUUUGUUCUUUUGAGUUUGUUUCCUUAUGGUUGAAAUUAUUGAAAAGUGAUUUGGAUAAAAGCGUCAGCUAAAUGACAUGUAACAAAUCCAAAAUAUUGCAGUGGAAUGAGGACUCGUCCGUCUCCUUGGUCACCGCUCAUCAGUCUAUUAUGUUCGGCACAAAGGAAAUAAUGAUUGAAAUCCAGAGAUAGUGUCGCUCUUUUGUCACAAACCCCCCAACAAACAGAGCCUUUAGCUGAUGCAGCGAUGGAGACCUGAUAUCAUUCAUGACGUCACACUGCGUUCCUGUUUGUAUCUGAAAUAACCUUUGUGAUAUCAGCCACAAUAACAACAUAUUAUAAUACUAAUAAUCCAUUCCAUCAGCUCAGCGUUGGUACAUAACAAGUCGUGAGGCCUGGCCGAGCAGUGGGAUGAGGCCACGGGAGCAGCAGCAGACACUGAAACAAAAGGACACCUGGGGGACACAAGUUCUCCCCCGGAGAACAUCGAUAUCUACGUCUCUUCUCUUUCUGCUCCUGCAACGUGGAACAAACUGCUCAGAAUCGAACCCAAUAACUCUUCUGGGUUCCCAGAACAAACAAAGCUUGAUGUAAUUUGUGUUUCAUAGGAUUCCUGCAUCGAGCCCCCCUUCCCUGCCCCCCCUCGCCCCCCCAUCACCAGAUCUGAUUAGGAGCCGCCCUGACUUCAUUUACCUCCUCUGCGUGAACUAAACUGUGUAUAAGUUUUCGCCCCAUGGGGAGCAUGCAUCGAUCUGGGACAUGAUGGCGGUAUCGGGCAGCCCCCUCGCUGGCCUCGCUGCGGGUGGAGGAGGCGGUGGAGAAGGAGGGGGCCUCACAUCCACCAUGAGGGUCGAUGAAAAUUGAAAACAGAAGCAAGCUGGUCGAGUGAAUUGGUUUUCAUGACGGAGCAACAUUGAGUCAUUUUUCCCCUGAUGACGACGUGACCCCAAACCUCCGACCACGUCCACGCCGCAUUCAGAGCUCGCAGGACUAAACUUAAAGGACAACAUGGGACGAAGUUUGACUGGAGUCGCUGACAGCUGCUGCACGGGAGGUUAAAGCAGCACUAACCGGGUUUGUUGCCACGGAGACGAUCCGCCGUCCUGUUUACACCCAUGAGGCUCUUUGUGUGGGUGGAAGCUGUUGUAUUGUGAAAAAUAAAGAAACUCCGGACGGACAGAAGACAUCUCGGAUAGAACGUUUAGUUUAGUAAAAGAAGAAGUAAAAGGUCUUGUGCUAAAAAGAACAUCUCAGCUGAGGAGCCGCUGGUCAAACGGCCACAGAGCCCAUGGACCCCCCAUAGUGACUCCUGCCUCCACCAACCAGCUCCUGGAACAAGGGUGCCUGCAGCACCACGGACAGCAGCAGACCCUGACCUCUGACCUUUGACCCCGCUGCAGUGAUCUGCAGAAUGAAGGUGCUCCCCGUGAGAGUCCCGGCCUGAAGCCAGCGCCGCCUGUCUCUGUCCCUCCAUCAAGACGUGUGGGACACGUUGCCAUGGUAACAGUGCUGCAGAGGUUCAGUUCUGAGGAUCCAAUCAAAGCUCGCCUCUCAGUGUGACCCAUGACACAUCACACUUUGUCACACAUCAUAUCUAUAUACCCUGCGCUAUACAGUAUGUAUGAAUAUAUAAAUCUUAUUGUCUUUAUAUUCUAAGCUUAUUUAACGAUUCUUGUUGGACUGUUGUACCUUAUAGAUCAGGGGGUCAAACAUCCGCCCCGCCGGAUGACUUUGCUCAGUGUGAAAAUGACAGAAAGACCGGCCCUUGUGAGAUCAAAGUGUGUGGCCCCCCACCAAAAACCACCCGUGUGCUAAUAUAGUUGCAGAGUUGUGCCAUUGUACACGUACUCUGCCGACCGCAUCACACCGAGAGGAGCCAUCAAAGGAGUCGCCCCCUGGUGGUCACUACAGAGAAUGCAGCUUAAACACGUGAAGCUCACACUCCACCUUAACGAACUGGAGGUUACCUCCUGGAUCACAGCCUGUGUUUGCUUCUUUGGUUUGUUUGUUAUCACCUAAUAAACAUUUUUAUCGUGUUCCCUCA